This 540-nucleotide ribosomal RNA is filed under the name uncultured bacterium. RNAcentral describes it as "bacterial SSU rRNA". It matches the Rfam family "Bacterial small subunit ribosomal RNA", at positions 338 to 896 of the family's 1533-position model. The record is from RNAcentral.
CCUACGGGUGGCUGCAGUUUAGGAAUUUUUGGGCAAUGGCCGCAAGGCUGACCCAGCAACGCCGCGUGGGGGACGAAGGCUCUCGGGUCGAAACCCUUUUCCCAGGGACGAUGAUGACGGUACCUGGGGAAUAAGCCCCGGCUAACUACGUGCCAGCAGCCGCGGUAAUACUAGGGGGCAAGCGUUGUCCGGAUUCAUUGGGCGUAAAGCGCGGGCAGGCGGCCUGCUCAGUCGGCCGUGAAAGCGCCGGGCUCAACUCGGCGAGGUCGGGCGAUACUGGCAGGCUGGAGGCUGGUAGAGGGCGGUGGAAUUCCGGGUGUAGUGGUGGAAUGCGUAGAGCUCCGGAGGAACACCAGUGGCGAAGGCGGCCGCCUGGGCCAGUCCUGACGCUGAGCCGCGAAAGCGUGGGGAGCGAUCCGGAUUAGAUACCCGGGUAGUCCACGCCGUAAACGAUGGGCACUAGGUGUCGGGGGUAUCGACCCCCCCGGUGCCGGAGCUAACGCAAUAAGUGCCCGCCUGGGGAGUACGGCCGCAAGGCUA